This 289-nucleotide ribosomal RNA is filed under the name Phaeocystis sp. RCC4499. RNAcentral's name for it is "partial small subunit ribosomal RNA". It matches the Rfam family "Eukaryotic small subunit ribosomal RNA", at positions 740 to 1028 of the family's 1831-position model. The record is from RNAcentral. Lineage: Eukaryota; Haptophyta; Phaeocystales; Phaeocystaceae.
GAGACGGAUCGUUUACUUUGAAAAAAUCAGAGUGUUUCAAGCAGGCAGCUCGCUCUUGCAUGGAUUAGCAUGGGAUAAUGAAAUAGGACUCUGGUGCUAUUUUGUUGGUUUCGAACACCGGAGUAAUGAUUAACAGGGACAGUCAGGGGCACUCGUAUUCCGUCGAGAGAGGUGAAAUUCUCAGACCAAUGGAAGACGAACCACUGCGAAAGCAUUUGCCAGGGAUGUUUUCACUGAUCAAGAACGAAAGUUAGGGGAUCGAAGACGAUCAGAUACCGUCGUAGUCUUA